RNAcentral lists this microRNA (22 nucleotides) under Triticum aestivum (bread wheat). Its description in RNAcentral is "tae-miR1121". Lineage: Eukaryota; Viridiplantae; Streptophyta; Magnoliopsida; Poales; Poaceae. The record is from miRBase by way of RNAcentral.
AGUAGUGAUCUAAACGCUCUUA